This is a long non-coding RNA of Cotesia glomerata, 156 nucleotides long. RefSeq lists it as uncharacterized. The record is from RefSeq and is a predicted model, not a curated record. Lineage: Eukaryota; Metazoa; Arthropoda; Insecta; Hymenoptera; Braconidae. The transcript has 3 exons.
UAUUUUAAGAGUUAUCACCAUUAUUAUAGUGCGUAGUUAACUACGCACUCCUACGCACAAUUUAGGACUCCAUAUCUCUUAAAAUAUUGAAGAUAAAAAUGAAGUACUAAAACAUUUUUUAUAGGAAAUUUCUUAAGCUACAAUAUUAGUCUCCUA